CUACGGGAGGCAGCAGUGGGGAAUAUUGGACAAUGGGCGAAAGCCUGAUCCAGCCAUGCCGCGUGUGUGAAGAAGGCCUUCGGGUUGUAAAGCACUUUCAGUGGGGAAGAAAGCCUUGGGGCUAAUACCCUCGAGGAAGGACAUCACCCACAGAAGAAGCACCGGCUAACUCCGUGCCAGCAGCCGCGGUAAUACGGAGGGUGCGAGCGUUAAUCGGAAUUACUGGGCGUAAAGCGCGCGUAGGCGGUCUGAUAAGCCGGUUGUGAAAGCCCCGGGCUCAACCUGGGAACGGCAUCCGGAACUGUCAGGCUAGAGUGCAGGAGAGGAAGGUAGAAGUCCCGGUGUAGCGGUGAAAUGCGUAGAGAUCGGGAGGAAUACCAGUGGCGAAGGCGGCCUUCUGGACUGACACUGACGCUGAGGUGCGAAAGCGUGGGUAGCAAACAGGAUUAGAUACCCCGGUAGUC
RNAcentral lists this ribosomal RNA (464 nucleotides) under Vreelandella stevensii. Its description in RNAcentral is "partial 16S ribosomal RNA". It matches the Rfam family "Bacterial small subunit ribosomal RNA", at positions 339 to 795 of the family's 1533-position model. Lineage: Bacteria; Pseudomonadati; Pseudomonadota; Gammaproteobacteria; Oceanospirillales; Halomonadaceae. The record is from RNAcentral.